This 612-nucleotide ribosomal RNA is filed under the name Klebsiella pneumoniae. RNAcentral's name for it is "bacterial SSU rRNA". It matches the Rfam family "Bacterial small subunit ribosomal RNA", at positions 772 to 1388 of the family's 1533-position model. The record is from RNAcentral. Lineage: Bacteria; Pseudomonadati; Pseudomonadota; Gammaproteobacteria; Enterobacterales; Enterobacteriaceae.
ACAGGAUUAGAUACCCUGGUAGUCCACGCGGUAAACGAUGGAUGCUCGUUGUCGGCCCUUCGGGUCGGUGACCAAGCGAAAGCGUUAAGCAUCCCACCUGGGGAGUACGCCGGCAACGGUGAAACUCAAAGGAAUUGACGGGGGCCCGCACAAGCGGAGGAACAUGUGGUUUAAUUCGAUGAUACGCGAGGAACCUUACCUGGGCUUGAACUGCGGCGGAACGAUUCGGAGAGGAUGAGGCCCUUCGAGGCCGCCGCGGAGGUGCUGCAUGGUUGUCGUCAGCUCGUGCCGUGAGGUGUCGGCUUAAGUGCCAUAACGAGCGCAACCCCCGUCUUCAGUUGCCAUCGGGUAAUGCCGGGCACUCUGGAGAUACUGCCACCGCAAGGUGCGAGGAAGGUGGGGAUGACGUCAAAUCAGCACGGCCCUUACGUCCGGGGCUACACACGUGUUACAAUGGCGCAUACAGAGAGUCGGUGGCAUGCGAGUGCCAUCCAAUCCUCAAAGUGCGUCUCAGUUCGGACUGGGGUCUGCAACCCGACCCCACGAAGCUGGAUUCGCUAGUAAUCGCGCAUCAGCCAUGGCGCGGUGAAUACGUUCCCGGGCCUUGUACAC